RNAcentral lists this unclassified non-coding RNA (209 nucleotides) under Hevea brasiliensis (rubber tree). Lineage: Eukaryota; Viridiplantae; Streptophyta; Magnoliopsida; Malpighiales; Euphorbiaceae. The record is from RNAcentral.
GGCAAUGUGGCUUUUUGUCACCAAAUAAGAAUCCUAAAUGUAUACUUUAAUAUAAACAUAUUGAAAAACCAGAGAAAAACCAGAUAGACCCGUUAGCCAGGCCCAUUUGGUUUUACCAAUAGAAAAUUAGAUAAACUGAUUGGCAGGCUUCUGAAGAUGAAAAAAAUCUAUAAAUGAGGAAAGAAGAUUAAUUGAAGAACCAGUAUUGC